RNAcentral lists this ribosomal RNA (2073 nucleotides) under human gut metagenome. Its description in RNAcentral is "bacterial LSU rRNA". It matches the Rfam family "Bacterial large subunit ribosomal RNA", at positions 393 to 2475 of the family's 2925-position model. The record is from RNAcentral.
UAAGAUAGCGGAAUCCCGAGUAGGGCGGGACACGAGAAAUCCUGCCUGAAUUCGCCAGGACCCCCUGGCAAGGCUAAAUACUCCCGAGAGACCGAUAGUGAACCAGUACCGCGAGGGAAAGGUGAAAAGUACCCCGAGCAGGGGGGUGAAAUAGACCCUGAACCCGCGCGCCUACAAGCGGUCGGAGCCGAGUGAUUCGGUGACGGCGUGCCUUUUGCAUAAUGAGCCUACGAGUUAGUCGUCACCAGCGAGGUUAAGGGCUUCAGGCCCGUUAGCCGAAGUGAAAGCGAGCCUUAACAGGGCGACGAGUUGGUGGCGCUAGACGCGAAACCUUGUGAUCUACCCACGAGCAGGUUGAAGUCGCGGUAACGCGUGAUGGAGGACCGAACCGGUAAACGUUGAAAAGUUUUCGGAUGACUCGCGGGUAGGGGUGAAAGGCCAAUCAAACUGGGAAAUAGCUCGUACUCUCCGAAAUGCAUUUCGGUGCAGCCUGUGAUGUUCUGUUCCAGAGGUAGAGCUACUGGUUGGACGCGAGGGCUUCACCGCCUAUCAAAUCCGGAUAAACUCCGAAUGCUGGAACACGAAAUCAUGGAGUGAGCCCGCGGGUGCUAAGGUCCGCGGACGAGAGGGAAAGAACCCGGACCACCGGCUAAGGUCCCGGAUGGACAGUUAAGUUGAUCAAACGAGGUGGGAUCGCGGAGACAGCUAGGAUGUUGGCUUGGAAGCAGCCAUUCAUUUAAAGAGUGCGUAACAGCUCACUAGUCGAGCGAUCCCGCGUGGAUAAUACACGGGCAUGAAACUGUCAACCGAAGCCGUGGGGUCAGUGUUGAACUGACCGGUAGGAGAGCAUUCCUGCCAGCGUCGAAGGUCACCCGCGAGAGUGACUGGAGCGGCAUGAAAAGCAAAUGUAGGCAUAAGUAACGAUAAUGGGGGCGAGAACCCCCCACGCCGCAAGACCAAGGAUUCCCCGGCAAUGUCAAUCAGCCGGGGGUCAGCCGGCCUCUAAGGCUAACCCGAAUGGGGACGCCGACGAGAAACGGGUUAACAUUCCCGUGCUUCUCGUCACCGUGACGCGGUGACGGGGUGAUGAAUGGACCGCGCGCUGACGGAAUAGCGCGUUGAAGGCCGUACCCGAUGACGGUGGUAGUCAAGCACGCCACCGGAGGCGAACGCCGAUAGUACCUCGAGGCCUCGGCCGAGGGGAUAGCGUCCAGGCAAUUUACCCCCGAGAAAACCCGCUAAACUUCAAGUGACGAGGAACCGUACUGUAAACGGACACACGUGGUCGGGUAGAACAUACCAAGGCGCUCGAGUGAUUCAUGGUCAAGGAACUAGGCAAAAUAGUCCUGUAACCUCGGGAAAAAGGACGCUCUAGUGAUAGAGCCGCAGAGUAAUGGCCCAGGCGACUGUUUACCAAAAACACAUGGCUAUGCCAAAUCGAAAGAUGACGUAUAUGGCCUGACACCUGCCCGGUGCCGGAAGGUUAAGAGGAGAGCUCAGGGGUGACCCGAAGGUUCGAAUUGAAGCCCCGGUAAACGGCGGCCGUAACUAUAACGGUCCUAAGGUAGCGAAAUUCCUUGUCGGGUAAGUUCCGACCUGCACGAAUGGUGUAACGAUCUGGGCACUGUCUCGACCAUGAGCUCGGUGAAAUUGUAGUUCCGGUGAAGAUGCCGGGUACCCGCAACGGGACGGAAAGACCCCGUGAACCUUUACUGCAGCUUCGCGUUGUUCCCGGGCACGGGACGUGUAGGAUAGGUCGGAGGCAAUGAAGCGGUUUCGCCAGGAAUCGUGGAGCCAUCGUUGAAAUACGACCCUUCUCUUGUCUGGGAUCUAACCCGUUUAACGGGGACACCGCGUGGUGGGUAGUUUGACUGGGGUGGUCGCCUCCAAAAGCGUAACGGAGGCUUCCAAAGGUACCCUCGGGUUGGUUGGUAAUCAACCUUCGAGUGCAAUGGCACAAGGGUGCUUGACCGGGAGACUCACAAGUCGAUCGGGUGCGAAAGCAGGGCAUAGUGAUCCGGUGAUCCCGCGUGGAAGGGUCAUCGCUCAAAGGAUAAAAGGUACUCCGGGGAU